RNAcentral lists this ribosomal RNA (1560 nucleotides) under Triticum aestivum (bread wheat). Its description in RNAcentral is "partial small subunit ribosomal RNA". The record is from RNAcentral. Lineage: Eukaryota; Viridiplantae; Streptophyta; Magnoliopsida; Poales; Poaceae.
AUGGCGGCCACCCCGCCGUCGUCGCGGGACCCGUCGCCGCAGCCCCGCCGGCCGGCCGCCGCCGCGGGCCGGCCCGCCGCCAGCGGCACCGGCACCAUAGGCAACGGCAAGCGCGGCGGGCUCCUGCUCGGCCGCUACGAGCUGGGCCGCGUCCUCGGCCACGGCACCUUCGCCAAGGUCUACCACGCCCGCCACGCCGACACGGGCGAGACGGUCGCCAUCAAGGUGCUCGACAAGGAGAAGGCGCUGCGGGCGGGCCUCGUCCCGCACAUCAAGCGCGAGAUCACCAUCCUCCGCCGCGUCCGCCACCCCAACAUCGUGCGCCUCUUCGAGGUCAUGGCCACCAAGUCCAAGAUCUACUUCGUCAUGGAGUUCGUCCGCGGCGGCGAGCUCUUCGCGCGCGUCGCCAAGGGCCGCCUCAAGGAGGACACCGCGCGCCGCUACUUCCAGCAGCUCAUCUCCGCCGUCGGCUUCUGCCACGCGCGCGGCGUCUUCCACCGCGACCUCAAGCCCGAGAACCUCCUCGUCGACGAGCGCGGGGACCUCAAGGUCUCCGACUUCGGCCUCUCCGCCGUCGCCGACCAGUUCCACCCCGACGGCCUCCUCCACACCUUCUGCGGCACCCCCUCCUACGUCGCGCCGGAGAUGCUCGCGCGCCGCGGAUACGACGGCGCCAAGGCUGACAUAUGGUCCUGCGGCGUCAUCCUCUUCGUCCUCAUGGCCGGCUACCUCCCUUUCCAUGACCAGAACCUCAUGGCCAUGUACCGCAAGAUUUACAGAGGGGAGUUCCGGUGUCCGAGAUGGUUCUCCAGAGAUCUCACCAGCCUAUUGAAUCGGCUUCUUGACACCAACCCGGAGACAAGGAUCACCAUGGCGGAAGUCAUGCAGAGCAGGUGGUUUCAGAAGGGAUUUCGGCCCGUCAGGUUCUAUGUUGAAGACGAUCAGCUGCACAGCUUAGGGGACAGUGAGAGUGAGGAGCUGGGGCUGGUCGAACCUACGGAGCCUCCUCCUCCUCCUCCACUUCCGCCGCCGCUGCCGCCACCACCGCAGCAAGAGGAUGAUGACUCAGGGUGGGAGUCGGAUUCCUCUGUCGCAUCCUGCCCUGCCACGCUGUCGUGCGAGGAGCGGCAACGGCCUGCCGGGCGUCUCACACGGCCAGCAAGCCUCAACGCUUUCGAUAUCAUAUCCUUCUCCAAGGGAUUUGAUCUAUCAGGGCUGUUCGAGGAGCGAGGGAGCGAAGUGAGAUUCAUCUCGGCACAACCCAUGGAAACCAUUGUUACAAAAUUGGAGGAGAUUGCCAAGAUGAAGAGCUUCUCCAUUCGCCGCAAGGACUGGCGCGUAAGCAUAGAAGGCACCAGGGAAGGGGAGAAGGGGCCAUUGACGAUUGGGGCUGAGAUAUUUGAGCUUACACCAAGCCUCUUGGUGUUGGAGGUGAAGAAGAAGGCAGGGGAUAAGGCAGAGUAUGAUGACUUCUGCAACAAAGAGUUGAAACCUGGGAUGGAGCCUCUCGUGCACCACCAAUCUGGUUCGGCUCGAAAUGUACCUUCUGAUACUGAGUAG